This 397-nucleotide long non-coding RNA is filed under the name Mytilus galloprovincialis (Mediterranean mussel). The record is from RNAcentral. Lineage: Eukaryota; Metazoa; Mollusca; Bivalvia; Mytilida; Mytilidae.
GUGACAUUCCCUCGCAUCAUUCAUUUUGUUUUUAUAGUGUGGAAAACCCCCCAACAAAUCUUACUGAGAUUGAUGAGAAAGGGAGACACAAAUGAAUAGAUUGACUCUAAACACUUUUUUACACAUUUCCCUUCUGUUUCUCUCGAAAUUAUCGUAUAUUGAGCUCUCCUUUACACUAUUAACGUUUCUUUUACAAUCCGGAAAAAUCAGUAUGACGAGAUAUUCUAAAUAUAUUCAACCUACAUUAUAUUUUAUAGUGACGUCAUUGUUGGAAUGCCACACUACGUGGAAGCAGGAAUAUCCUUCACUGGUUAUUUAAAUCAUUGAAUGAUUACAUGUGAUUCUUCCGGCGGGAGUCAAAAUCUCCCGCUUUUAAGACCCUCUUCCGUCCCUCCCG